Molecule: ribosomal RNA, 389 nt
Filed under: uncultured bacterium
Lineage: Bacteria
Description: bacterial SSU rRNA
Rfam family: Bacterial small subunit ribosomal RNA
Source: RNAcentral
AAUGGGGGAAACCCUGACGCAGCAACGCCGCGUGGGUGAUGAAGGCCUUCGGGUCGUAAAGCCCUUUUGGUUGGGACGAAAAAAAUGACGGUACCGACAGAAAAAGCACCGGCUAACUCUGUGCCAGCAGCCGCGGUAAUACAGAGGGUGCAAGCGUUAUUCGGAAUCACUGGGCGUAAAGCGCGCGUAGGCGGCUUGGUAAGUUUGUUGUGAAAGCCCUCGACUUAAUCGAGGAAGUGCAAUGAGAACUGCCAGGCUGGAGUAUAGGAGAGGAGAACGGAAUUCCUGGUGUAGAGGUGAAAUUCGUAGAUAUCAGGAGGAACAACGGUGGCGAAAGCGGUUCUCUGGACUAUUACUGACGCUGAUAGCGCGAAAGCGUGGGGAGCAAA